ACUGUUUAUUAGUUCAAGUAAAACUAAUGAAUUCGACUCAUUAAAUUAUGAUACAUAUCAUAAUUACCAAAAA
RNAcentral lists this transfer RNA (73 nucleotides) under Peromyscus furvus. Its description in RNAcentral is "tRNA-Arg". The record is from RNAcentral. Lineage: Eukaryota; Metazoa; Chordata; Mammalia; Rodentia; Cricetidae.